This 19-nucleotide small RNA is filed under the name Arabidopsis thaliana (thale cress). Its description in RNAcentral is "ATSL003720". Lineage: Eukaryota; Viridiplantae; Streptophyta; Magnoliopsida; Brassicales; Brassicaceae. The record is from RNAcentral.
AAAGAGGACUAAAAUGAAG